AGUAUGGAGCUGAGAAAUUCAGCUCGUCUUCGGUUCAUUUAUUUAAUAAACCGAUCACGAGCUGACCCACGAAUAAAUUAAAAAAAUUAAAAAAUAUAUAUAAAAAAUAAAUUUAUAAAAUGUCAUUCAUUAAACUUUGAUCUAAUUCUUACAACUUUACAAAUAAAUAAUUUUUUUUAUAAUUAAGUUAGGCUUUAUAUUUAGUUUGGACUAAAAAUCAAAUAAUAUAAAUCUAUAUUAUAUAAAUAUAAUUAUUUAUUUAUAUAUAUAAAUAUAAAAUAUAUGUAUUCGAGCUGUUAUUGAGUCGAAUACGAGCGAGCUGACCCCAAAUCAUGGUGUAAUAUAAAUAGUACAAGUUUUGUAUAAAUGGUAUAAUUUAAGUAUAAUUUUUUCUAUCUAUAGAAGAAGCUUAAUGUGCGACCAAAGAUUUAGUCAAGUUUUCUAUUAAUUUGGCUUAAUAAUUGUAAGAUAGCAAAAUAUAUUAUCAAACAUCCUUACCGAUGGUUAGGGAGGCAAACUGGGCAGAUCCGGGUGCGGGAGGGUUCUCUCACAUCUCGCUCCAUUUCUUAUCGGGACAGGGCGGGUUAUUUUUUAUUUUAUUUUUGGUUCUCACUUAUUGUCUUAUUAGGGGCGGAUUGGAGCGGAAGCAGAUUUUUGACGAAUUUUUGACGAAUCAGAAUGGAUUGAAGGAAGAAAAGGAUCUCCCGCUUUCUGCUUCAUUUACUUGGCAGAUCGGAACGAGUUAUAUUUUUCUAUUUUUUUUGUUCCUACUUACCGUCCUAUUCGGAACGGAUCGGGACAGGAGCUCCACCAACUUGGAUCCAUUUGCAUCCCU
This 835-nucleotide long non-coding RNA is filed under the name Ananas comosus (pineapple). RNAcentral's name for it is "long non-coding RNA (ACOM_LNC018387)". The record is from RNAcentral. Lineage: Eukaryota; Viridiplantae; Streptophyta; Magnoliopsida; Poales; Bromeliaceae.